RNAcentral lists this ribosomal RNA (301 nucleotides) under uncultured bacterium. RNAcentral describes it as "partial 16S ribosomal RNA". It matches the Rfam family "Bacterial small subunit ribosomal RNA", at positions 509 to 809 of the family's 1533-position model. The record is from RNAcentral.
CAGUAGCCACGGGAAUACGUAGGUGGCGAGCGUUGUCCGGAAUUAUUGGGCGUAAAGGGCUCGCAGGCGGUUUCUUAAGUCUGAUGUGAAAGCCCCCGGCUCAACCGGGGAGGGUCAUUGGAAACUGGGAAACUUGAGUGCAGAAGAGGAGAGUGGAAUUCCACGUGUAGCGGUGAAAUGCGUAGAGAUGUGGAGGAACACCAGUGGCGAAGGCGACUCUCUGGUCUGUAACUGACGCUGAGGAGCGAAAGCGUGGGGAGCGAACAGGAUUAGAUACCCGGGUAGUCCAUGUCUCUUAUAU